Ribosomal RNA from Pteropus vampyrus (large flying fox), 120 nucleotides. The record is from Ensembl. NCBI's taxonomy places the organism in Eukaryota, Metazoa, Chordata, Mammalia, Chiroptera, Pteropodidae.
GUCUAUGGCCAUGCUACCCUGAACAAAGCCGAGUCCGUCUGAUCUCAGAAGCUAAGCAGGGUCAGGCCUGGUUAGUACUUGGAUGGGAGAGCACCUAGGGAAGACCACGUGCUGUAGGCA